This is a long non-coding RNA of Phasianus colchicus (ring-necked pheasant), 911 nucleotides long. RefSeq lists it as uncharacterized. The record is from RefSeq and is a predicted model, not a curated record. NCBI's taxonomy places the organism in Eukaryota, Metazoa, Chordata, Aves, Galliformes, Phasianidae.
CACAGGCAGGGCCACCAACCUCCAGAUCUGGCACUAGCCCAGCUCUGUCCUGAAUGGUGCAUGGAUUUCCAAGAAGAACACGGCCAACUGCAGAACCUGGAGCUGGCUGGCGGUGGAACCAGCGGAUCUCAUACACGUGGGCUGCCGGAUGAGAGGCAGAGGAAUGGCCACACUGAUCCCAUACCAUGAAAGGAUGGCUGCUCGCCUUCAGCGAUGUCAGGAAAUGCUGAGGAACCAGAAAAUGAGCAUGAGAUGCUCCCAGCUGCUCAGUUCCUGCUCUCCCUGUUCAGCUCUUCCACCCGACCGAUUCACGUGCCUCCAGAAUUGAACCUUGAACACCGUUUCCACCCCUCUGUGCAUGUGAAACAGCAAUCUGGAAAACACAUUGGUGUUUUAAUAGCGUUUCUGGGUAACCCUCUUGUACCGUAGGUAUAGCCAAAACAAGGAGAAAACCCCUCAGGGCUGCGAAACCUAAGGACAAAUGCCGAUGGGGAGGCUUCUGCUGACCUCGCUGGGAGCUGGACCGAUGCCUGGUGGCAGACAAAGGCUGUGUGAGUGGGGUGUGCUCACCCCAGCCCUGUUCUUCCUAUGGUGUUGGGGCCCAGGGUAUGUAUUUCCCCCCCUGGCAAUGGGCAGACUUGGAUGGGUUGGACGUUGCGCAGCUCUCUCCCUUCUCUGGUUUCAGCUCGGUUGUUAAACCCAGUAAUAUGCGCAAUAAUCUGCCUGUCUGGGAUUAAUAUAACGUUAUAUGUUUCUUGAAAGCCUUUCUGAUCCCGCAGUUAAUUUAAUCUUUUAUUAACAUUAACGAGCUCAUGUGGUGUCCAGCAAGCCUGGGGAGAAUGCUUUCCAAUACCAACAGAUGACAAAGAGAUGAAAAUAUAAUAGCAGAUGAAUUCCUCCUUCACCGCAAA